This 87-nucleotide transfer RNA is filed under the name Planctomycetota bacterium. RNAcentral's name for it is "tRNA-Ser". It matches the Rfam family "tRNA". Rfam says of the family: Transfer RNA (tRNA) molecules are approximately 80 nucleotides in length. Their secondary structure includes four short double-helical elements and three loops (D, anti-codon, and T loops). The record is from RNAcentral. Lineage: Bacteria; Pseudomonadati; Planctomycetota.
GGAGAGGUGGCAGAGCGGCUGAAUGCGCAACAUUGCUAAUGUUGUGACUCCGUUAGGGGUCCGCGGGUUCGAAUCCCGCCCUCUCCG